CAGAGGGACCACCAAGCAUCCUCCUUCGGUGCUGCUCUGUAGCCCUCCCGGGCCGCUGGAAGUACAGGGGAAAAUAACACACCAGUAACCGGAAGGGGGACGUGAAAGUAAAGAGUACUCAGGCAAGGAAGGACCCAGUGCCCAGCCUCAGCUGCAUCGGUGACAGCUCAACCUUCCCAGGGGCCUACCCACAGGGCAGGGAACAGCUUCGUUGCCAUUUCACUUCCAGACAGUAGAUGUCGCUGGUUUUCUGUCAGAAGAGUCUUGGAAGCCGUCUACUCAUCCUUGAGGGUCUCCUGUAUCAAAUCCAUGCUGAACCACCUCAGACUCAGUUCAGACAGCGGUUGUCCCUCUCUUGGAUUUGUGGAACAGUCUCAGCCUGUGGUUCUCUGGCACCCUCUCUCCACUGGUUCCAGCGUCAGUCUGUCUUCUCAGCACAGCCAGAGUGAGCUCUGGGAACCAGCUCCUUCCAUACAGUCCUGGAGGCUGGUCAGCCAGUCAGUCAAUUGCUGGUCUCCACCUGCAGUGAGAGACCCUGUCUCAGACAAUAAGUCCUGGAAAAAAGUGAAUUCAAAGAUGAGCCUCUACUUUUCUGCUUUUUUGCCGACGAGGAAAUGGAAGGAUCGAAUAUGAAACACAGGCUUAUGAAACAUGACUUGAAAGUUGUGGAGAACGUCAUAGCUCAGUCACUGUUGAUUAAAUCCAGUGAAGGCAGCUAUGGCUUUGGGCUUGAAGACAAAAAUAAAGUUCCAAUAAUAAAGUUAGUGGAAAAGGGGUCUAAUGCUGAGGUUGUGUCUCUGAAGUUCUGUAAAGUAGUGUUGGAUUUGUAGCAGCUGAGGCUGUGUCUCGGUGAUGAUGGACUGGGGAGGUGGUGGUACUUCAGAGAUCUACAGCUCCCAAUUACCGAGUUCCCAAGUGGCAAGUUCUGUGACUUCAGGAUCUUCCCAGUCAUGAAAUCUAUCCUGGAGCUCUGUGGGAGCUACAUAGGAUGUGACAACUGUGCUGUGUGUCACAUGGGCCUGGUAAUGAACAACACGGUGCGAAAGGACAAGAGAGUCACUAACACGGUAAAAAGGAGAGGGUAUGGCAGUGCAUGCCUUCAAUCCCAGCACUCGGGGGGCAGAGGUGGGCGCAUCUCUGAGUUUAAGGUUAGCCUGGUUUACAGGGUGAGUUCCAGGACAGCCAGGGUUACAAAGGAAACCCUGUCUCAGAAAACCAAAAACCAAAGACAAACAGAAAACGAAGUAAAAAAGGAAAUCACGAAAUUUCCUUGAAACAAAUGAAAAUAGCAACAUAACUUAUUAAAACUUAAGGGAUCCAGUGAAAGCAGUACUACCAUAAAAGUUUAUAGCAAUAAAAACCUCCAUAAAAAAGAAGUAACCCAACAAACAAUGCAAAGCAAAGCAACCCCAAAUCCAGCAGAAGGAGAAAAAGUGAGAAAAAUCUAAGCAAAUAAAAGACACCACAAACAAUACAAAGAAUCAAUAAAGCAGAGGGUUUUGUUCGUUUGUUUGUUUUUAAAUAAAAACCUUUAGCUAGAGUAAUUUAAAAGAGAGAAGACUCAUAUAAAGUUGGGUAAAAGGUACAGUUUAUUAUGGCUGCUCCAGAUAUACACAGUCACUGGAGAUUGUUAGGAAAACUGUAUGCUCACCAACUGGAGAAGUGGAUAAAUAAAUACAUGAACAUUAAAAAAUUAAAUACAGCAUGUAGAAAGAGAGGACACACUUCCUGACUUGAAAAUGUAUCACACAGCUCAUACAGUACUGGUACAAGGGCAGCCACACAGACCAACGGGGCAAAACGGAGUGCAUCGAAAUAAGGACGCGUUUGCUGCCAGCUGAUUUUGACAAAGGUCUGAACAACACCCAGACAGAAGGAAGCCUCUUUAAUGCAUGGUUCUGGGGAAACUGGUUAUUUGCACGCAGAAGACUGAAAGUCGACCCGUCUUUCAUUUUGUAAGAAAAUCAAAUUAAAAAAAAAGGUGUCGAAGACCCGACCAUGAGAACUGGACUUGUGAAACUUCCAGAAGGAAGCGUGGGGAAACACUCCAGCACAUUGACACAGGCAUUGACUUGGGAUAAGAUGCCCCAAAUCCAGGAAAUAAGACCAGAAAUGAACAAAUCGGACUGCAUCAAGUCAGGGAACUUUGGUCCAGUAAAUCGACUAAAGCAUUGAAAAGUCAAACUAUACAUGGGAAAAAUAUUUAUAAGCUAUUCUUGUGACCAGGAGUUAAUAUCCCAAAUAGACAACCAAUUUAAAAGGGCAAUGACAAAAAUCCCCCAAAUAAUAAUUAAAAAUCAGAAAAAUAUGAAUAGAUUCUUCUUCAAAUGAAGAAAUUCAAAUGGUCAACAGAUGUAUGAAAAAAUGUUCAACUUUGUUGGCUGUCAGGUAAAUGUUAGUCAAAAUCACAAUGAGAUUUUAUUUCAUCCUGGUUAGAAAAUCUCUUAUCAAAAAAUUAAAAAUGUAGCAAACACUGGCAAGGAUGUAAAGAAAAGGGGACUCUCGUGUAUUCUUGGUAGGAAUUCUCCGACUGCAGGAAUGAUAUCAGUAUAGUCAUUACAAAGAACAGUGGGAAUGGAGGCUCUUCAGGAAACAACAAAAAAUAUAUCUACCAUACGAUCCAGUUAUCCAGUCACUGAAGAAACCCAAGGAAAUGCCAGCACAUCACAGAUGUAUUCCUGGCUGCACUAAGUCACAAGGGCCAAGACGUGGCAUCAACUUAGAUGCCCAUCAAGAAAGUGGUGGCUACACAUAUAUUUGUAUUUCAAUGACAUAGUAACAAAUAACUGUGUAAUAUAUCAUAUACUGGUUAUAUGAAAUAUACUGAUAACAUGUUAUUCAGUAGGCUAUCAAGAAUAAUAGCCUAUCAUUUUACUAGUAGUAAAACUUCUGAAGCUGGAAUACACUAUGUUAGGUGAAGUAAGUCCAAUUCAAAAAGGCAAUUUCUGCACGUUCUCUCAUAUAUGUGGAUGCUUCUCUGGAUUACAGUGUAUAAAUGAUGAGAGAUUGGGAGGGACAGGUGGGACAUCAGAUCACCAGUAUCCGAGAAGUUGUAAGAAGCAGUGACGUCUAGCGUUCUGUCAGAGGGGGCAACAUGAUAAUUUACCACAGCCUAAAACAGAGUUUUGAAGAGCUCCAAAGUUCCAAACAUAACGCAAUGAUGAGGCACAUGAGUGCCUUGAUUUUGCCAGUGCAUAUUUAUGUGGGGAUUGAAGUGGGUGCUAUAGCCUCUACCUGUGUCAAAUUAUUGCUUGUUAAUCCAACAUGGUUAGGAAGACGGAGACAUUGCCUACUCUGAUAUGAUCAAUACAUACAGAAACAUACAUUGAACCACUGCACAGCACCCCAUAAAUUUGUACAACUAAAAUAAAUUAAAAACUAAAACAAAAUUGAAUAGCUUGUGAAAGUUGUAUAUCCCUGGCUCUGGAGUUUCUAUGAAAAGUGAAUGCUUUCUCAUUGGGUACUGAAUUAAAAAUGUCUGGUAAUAGAGUUUCUGUCAAAUAUGAGGGCAGAUUUGAAUUAACAUUUUUGAGGUAAAAAACUAGUACAUAUACCAAUAAAUUGUGUUUUGGGGAAAACAAUUGGUCUUACCUGGUGAAUUAGAAUUUAAAAUAUGACUUACUUUUCAUGUAUGUUUUUUCUUAUAAAUUAGACUCAAACACAUGUUCUUGCUUCUAGAUACAUAUCUACAUAAACCAGUACAUUUAAAAAUAGAUCAUUUUAAAAUGUGACAAAAUUUGGAAGUCUGGCUGAGGAAGAUUGAGCAGGGAGUGUGAACUUCCUGUGACCUGGAGAAAUGAAAAAGUGAUUUCAACUAGAAAUAACAUGUCUCCCUCUGGAACAGGAAGGUAAUUUAUGGAAACACCUUUGCAGCAGCAUCCACACAUGUGACUUGAGGUCAGAUGUUCUAUGUGCUCCAGGAGACCUCACAGAGUUGGGUUAGAAAGUGUGGGAUACGCUGCCUGAGCCACAGACAAGAAGCGCUGUUGGCCAGUGAGGAAGGAUUGCUGCAUAAUCAAGCCCAGGAAAGCUGCAGGAAGAGGAGGUGCAGGAGCCCACCCCUACGGCUGCCAGCACUUUGUCCCAUCAAAGGGGAUGCAAGGCAAGUUGAUGGGGACAGCUUCAUUCAAAAUCUAUUCCUAAUUCUUUGUGGAGUCUCCUUUCUGAGGAUAUAGGAAAAGACAUUGAAGAACAUAGUUUACAUUGCACAGAAUUCAAUUCAACUAACAUUUCAGAUGUAACAGACAUAAACAGGUGGUUAGGCCCAUGUUAAUCCAUGCUUCCUUUUCACUGUUUGUUCAUUCUUUCCUCCCUCCGCUCCCUUUACCACCCCUUUCCCCUC
Peromyscus californicus insignis is the source of this 4342-nucleotide long non-coding RNA. RefSeq lists it as uncharacterized. The record is from RefSeq and is a predicted model, not a curated record. The transcript has 6 exons. NCBI's taxonomy places the organism in Eukaryota, Metazoa, Chordata, Mammalia, Rodentia, Cricetidae.